CCUCCCUGCUGUCCUGCUAGCACACUGCAAGGCCAAGUUCUCACAGCCCCUGUGGCUCCCAGCUGCUUCCAAUGGAUUCAUUGUCUGCCUUGUUUUGUUUGUCCCAAGUUCAGGCCACCCUGUUGGUGAGUGGCCUCUUUCAAAGGUGAGCUUGCCUAUCUCGGCCUUGGACAAUUGGUCCUUUCAAGGGGGACAGGCAGCUCUGUGAACCUUCUCUGCCCUUGCUCGGGCAAAUCUCUGCCACGGCCACCAGGCCCAGGAACACGCUGCAAAGCUUGACCAAGAAAACAGCCCAUCCUGUUCUGUCUUCUAUCCUCUGAUGGAGGCACUCCACGUCCUCUGCUGGCCUAGAUGAACUGGCUGUCAUGUCCCACCAUGACAUGCUGACCACUGCGUAGGCAUAAGCAACUGAGGAGGUCCAGUCCUGACACAUGUACUACAAGGAGAUGCAGCUCUCCUUAGUCCUGGCCUUUGUGUGGGGGGUCCAAUGCUGCCGCCUGGCCCUCUCUGCAACCCCGCAUCCAGUUCCAGCUUCCACAAGUGUCAGGAAUGUUAGCAGGGAGCAGGAUCAGAAGCAGAGCAGCCAAGAUCCUAUCGAAUGUGGAAUGCCAACAUCACCACAAUAGCUGCCCCAGAGUACAUUCUUCCAUUCAUGUAGCACGCAGCAUGUUAGUUAGUGCACAUGCUUAGAGACCAAAUACCUGGAUUCAAACUCCAGCUGAGUCAAGUUCCAGGCUGGAGCAUAACUCUACUCAACGGGACCUAGACUGAGCCCCUCUCCACUGCAGUCCUCACACCUACCUCCUCAGCAUGAUUCCAAAGCUCCACGGAAGACCCUACAUCCUUUCAUUCCUCAUCUGAGGAACUGAAACACUUCCU
Molecule: long non-coding RNA, 879 nt
Organism: Ochotona curzoniae (black-lipped pika)
Lineage: Eukaryota; Metazoa; Chordata; Mammalia; Lagomorpha; Ochotonidae
Exons: 5
Source: RefSeq, a predicted model, not a curated record